CGACCCGACGAAGAAGUCCCUAGCGAACCGACGGGCGACAGAGGCUGGCGAGUGGAGGCGAAGGACUACGACCGUCGCGGCCGACCGAAGCCAUCCGACCGAAGCCAUGGGAACCGGUGACGUAGCUUCUUCGGGGGAACGAUUCUCUCCUGAGGUUCCUAGCUUCGUGCAACUUGCUAUAUAGAUUAGGUCACGCCUGGCACAUCCAGACUGUAUCGAGUCGAUGCGAUACUUGAGCUGGAUUUUGAAUUCGAUUCGUUUGGUGCUGGAGUUGCGCGGGAACUUGAAGAAUGCGUCGUUGAAUUUGUUCGAGAGACGUUGAAUGAGUGUUUUCUUCGCAAGUUUAGUCUGUGGAUGCUUGGUAGUGAAUUUAAUGGUAAGCGACAUUGCAUGCUGCAAAAUCAGGGACAAUCCCUAGAAGGCGAAACUUGCUUUGGACAGCCUUGAAGUUCCAGCUGGGGGUAUAUAUGAAAAUAUUGUUAGAAAAGUUGGAGGUGGCCAAUCCAAUAAGAAGCCUCUUUUUCCAUGCAACAAGACAUGCAGAGAUGGAAGCUCUUGAUAUUGUUCUUGAAUAGUGGCAAAGGACUGGAUUAUUGGCUGCAGAAGUUGCAGAGAAGUUUUCAGUAUGCUCUCUAUAUGGGACAUGUGAACCGUGCACAAUGAAAAUAAAUGGAGUAAUGGGAAUUCUGCAUCAAAGGGUUUCAAAUGUUGUGGAGGUAUAAUGGCAUCAGAAGCAAUUUCUCUUCUGCGAGAUUUUUAUGAACAAGGAAACUCUAAUGAUAAAUAAAGCUGGCCCAGUGGAAUGUCAUGUAAUGACAAAGGGUUAAUGAAAUUGCAUGCAUCCAUCAAGUAUAAGGUGUUUAUUUUGAGAUGCUCCAAAGCCUCAGGUCACUAUGGGUAAAUCAUGCUUCUCAUUGGAUAUGCUUGCAUUGAUUCAUCCUGUUGAACACUUUCAUGCCUUUGCACAAUUAGAAUUUCAUCAAGGAAUCCGAGGAAGGAAGUGUGAUGCAUGUCCAGAUCAGAUUUUUGCCCAGAUGUUCAUGUGUUUACAGAGGGUUGCAGAUGUGAUCACAAGCGAUUUCAUGCUUGAACUUGAUUGUCAGAUUGUUUAGAUAAUUUUACGGCAUAAACCUGUGUAGGCAUCAGUUUUCUGAGGUUAAUUUUUGUCAUCUAUAUAUUCUGUGAUGGAGUUUGAUUUGAGUUUUUCUAACUUUGAGAUAAUUCUAGGCGUGCUAUUGAUAAUUCUGAGAUUUAUAGUUCUAGACUAUGUCCUAUGUGAUCCCUAACAUGAUAGAAGAGGCAAAGGACAUGCAUGUGUUUUCGCAUGGAUUUCACUGGAUUCAAGUUUCCUAGUUAUACCAAUUAUGUCCUAAAUACUUGAAUUU
This is a long non-coding RNA of Eucalyptus grandis, 1385 nucleotides long. RefSeq lists it as uncharacterized. Lineage: Eukaryota; Viridiplantae; Streptophyta; Magnoliopsida; Myrtales; Myrtaceae. The record is from RefSeq and is a predicted model, not a curated record. The transcript is spliced from 8 exons.